UACGUCGUACGGGAGAAAGCAGGGGACCUUCGGGCCUUGCGCUAUCAGAUGAGCNUAGGUCGGAUUAGCUAGUUGGUGAGGUAAUGGCUCACCAAGGCGACGAUCCGUAACUGGUAUGAGAGGAUGAUCAGUCACACUGGAAGUGAGACACGNUCCAGACUCUUACGGGAGGCAGCAGUGGGGAAUAUUGGACAAUGGGCGAAAGCCUGAUCCAGCCAUGCCGCGUGUGUGAAGAAGGUCUUCGGAUUGUAAAGCACUUUAAGCUGGGAGGAAGGGCAUUAACUUAAUACGUUAGUGUUUUGACGUUACCGACAGAAUAAGCAC
RNAcentral lists this ribosomal RNA (324 nucleotides) under uncultured bacterium. RNAcentral describes it as "bacterial SSU rRNA". It matches the Rfam family "Bacterial small subunit ribosomal RNA", at positions 188 to 493 of the family's 1533-position model. The record is from RNAcentral.